AGCUAGUGUGGUGUAAUGGUUUGAGCACUGGACUACGACUCUGGAGAUCAUGGUUCAAUUCCCUGCUUGGCCA
Molecule: non-coding RNA, 73 nt
Organism: Phrynosoma platyrhinos (Desert horned lizard)
Lineage: Eukaryota; Metazoa; Chordata; Lepidosauria; Squamata; Phrynosomatidae
Source: the annotation of a GenBank genome assembly